GGGAAUGUAGCUCAGUGGUAGAGCACUUACCUGGCAUGUGUAAGGCCCUGGGUUAAAACCCCAGCAUGGCCA
This 72-nucleotide transfer RNA is filed under the name Fukomys damarensis (Damara mole-rat). It matches the Rfam family "tRNA". From Rfam's summary of the family: Transfer RNA (tRNA) molecules are approximately 80 nucleotides in length. Their secondary structure includes four short double-helical elements and three loops (D, anti-codon, and T loops). Lineage: Eukaryota; Metazoa; Chordata; Mammalia; Rodentia; Bathyergidae. The record is from Rfam by way of RNAcentral.